Long non-coding RNA from Antechinus flavipes (yellow-footed antechinus), 1543 nucleotides. RefSeq lists it as uncharacterized. Lineage: Eukaryota; Metazoa; Chordata; Mammalia; Dasyuromorphia; Dasyuridae. The record is from RefSeq and is a predicted model, not a curated record. The transcript is spliced from 3 exons.
CAGGCCCGGGCUGCCGGGCUCGGCCGCUCCUCGCGGCGUCCAGAGGCCAACCGGGGCCUCAUCCGCGCCCGGUUCUGGUGGGAAUUGACUACAUUAAGCCUUAAAGUGAUUUUCAGUGUGACUCUUGUGUCCUUUAACGUAUGUGGCACAUUGCACUGGGUUUAAGAGCUGAAUGUAAUGUUAAAAGGCUAAUGGGGAACACUUUAAAUGUGAUAACUUGGAGUUCAUAUUGUUUGAAAAGAUAAGCAGUAACGCCAGAGUCAGAGCUGCACCGAGGGUGCUUUUGAAUUUACUUAUCAGCGCUUAAGCAGGCCCCCCUCCGGCUCCCUCCCCUACCUGGGCCGGAGGAGAGCCUCGGGAAGGGGGCGGCCCCGCGGAGGGCACGCUUUCAUCCGCCGGCGUCGCCCAGGGCCGAGCUGCCCGGCGCAGAGCCUCCGCGAGGGAGCCGGGCCCUGCCGCUGCCGCCCGCCGCCCAGCCCGGGGGAGCCUGGGGAAGAGGUCGCGGCCUCGGAGAAGGGCGAGGGAGAGUAACCGUUGGACUUCCCCGUUACGUGGGGAGAGACGGGCAUUGAUGCCUUCCUUUAAAGGGGGGUGAAACCUCGAGCGCGCCUCUCGGCCCGCUGCUCCAAAGUCCGAUUAAACCAAUGGGCCGAACCCUCAGACAGGCUCUGCCGCUGACAGACACCAGGGACGCUGGUUUUCCUGCGGGGCCCCCACCCCCCGUUCCCUUAGCAAAGGCCGGGAGGGCGGCAACCGGAGGAGACCCGCAUCCCUAGUGGCCUAAGGGUCCGGGCUGAAACUCGGUGGCCGCCCAGGGCAGAGCUCGUUCUGCAGCUGGGGACGCUGGGGCACGGGCGGUCCUGCCGCUCCCCGCCCGUCCCGGGUCACCCGCCGAGCCGUCCGGCGGCGGCGAGAUCCGCGCUGCCCCAAGCGCUGACCCCGAGUGGCCCCCAGGACCUCUGGCCGCCGGCCCGACUGUUUGUGCCGUGCCUCUGGCCCUGGUCCCGCUGGACCUGUUACCCGCAGGAGGUUUCCUGCCCCCGCCGCCACCGCGGCCCUUGGCAAAGCUUGUUUUACAGACAGGGAAACGAAGGCCCACCAACUUAAUUUCCUUGUCCAGGAUCACCCAGGGGCCAGAACGCAGGAGGAUGACACUUCCUGACUUGCAGGCCCCGUGCCACCCCGCUGCCAGUUAUAGCCGUAGAACCGAUGGAUAUGGACGCAGAACUCUCGGGUUUGAAUUCAGCUGCUUCUGCUUGCUAACUGCAUGACCUCAACACCUCUGAGCUGACCCCUUCUGAUGUUGCCUCGGCCUCCCUAGGGCAAGACGAGUCAGAUCAUACCUUGGAGAGAAGAGGUUCAAUCUUACUGGCAUCUGCCUUUACUGGGAAGUUGAUUUCUUUAUUUGGCUCAUCACAAGUUGAAUUCAGACUGAAAAAGAUGGUCUCCUUUGAGCAAGUGUAUAUGACAACUUCAUCUAGAUAUUUAAGAUCUCGGGUUGGACAAGGACACUUAAAAAAGAAAUAUAUAUAUAUAUAUAUGG